GAUGAACGCUGGCGGCGUGCUUAACACAUGCAAGUCGAACGGAAAGGCCUCUGCUUGCAGGGGUACUCGAGUGGCGAACGGGUGAGUAACACGUGGGUGAUCUGCCCUGCACUUCGGGAUAAGCCUGGGAAACUGGGUCUAAUACCGGAUAGGACAAUGGUUUGGAUGCUGUUGUGGAAAGUUUUUCGGUGUGGGAUGAGCUCGGGGCCUAUCAGCUUGUUGGUGGGGUAAUGGCCUACCAAGGCGGCGACGGGUAGCCGGCCUGAGAGGGUGUACGGCCACAUUGGGACUGAGAGACAGGCCGGAGUACUGAAGGAGGCAGAAGGGGGGAAAAUUGGACAAUGGGCGCACGCGUGAGGCAGGGACGCCGUGGGGGGGAUGAAGGCCUUCGGGUGGUAAACACAUAUCGCUAGGGAAGAAGCGUGUUUGUGACGGUACCUGGAGAAGAAGCAACGGCUAACUACGUG
RNAcentral lists this ribosomal RNA (467 nucleotides) under uncultured bacterium. RNAcentral describes it as "partial 16S ribosomal RNA". It matches the Rfam family "Bacterial small subunit ribosomal RNA", at positions 28 to 507 of the family's 1533-position model. The record is from RNAcentral.